UCCGUAGGUGAACCUGCGGAANGAUCAUUA
Molecule: ribosomal RNA, 30 nt
Filed under: Xerocomus subtomentosus
Lineage: Eukaryota; Fungi; Basidiomycota; Agaricomycetes; Boletales; Boletaceae
Description: partial 18S ribosomal RNA
Source: RNAcentral